This 488-nucleotide ribosomal RNA is filed under the name uncultured Bacteroidota bacterium. RNAcentral describes it as "bacterial SSU rRNA". It matches the Rfam family "Bacterial small subunit ribosomal RNA", at positions 355 to 843 of the family's 1533-position model. Lineage: Bacteria; Pseudomonadati; Bacteroidota. The record is from RNAcentral.
UGAGGAAUAUUGGUCAAUGGGCGCAAGCCUGAACCAGCCAUCCCGCGUGAAGGAAGACUGCCCUAUGGGUUGUAAACUUCUUUUGUAAAGGAAGAAAGUUAGCUACGUGUAGCUAUUUGCCUGUACUUUACGAAUAAGCACCGGCUAACUCCGUGCCAGCAGCCGCGGUAAUACGGAGGGUGCAAGCGUUAUCCGGAUUUAUUGGGUUUAAAGGGUGCGUAGGCGGGCUCUUAAGUCAGUGGUGAAAUCCUGCAGCUUAACUGUAGAACUGCCAUUGAUACUGAGAGUCUUGAGUGCGGUUGAGGUAGGCGGAAUGUGUAGUGUAGCGGUGAAAUGCUUAGAUAUUACACAGAACACCGAUUGCGUAGGCAGCUUACUAAACCGUAACUGACGCUGAUGCACGAAAGCGUGGGUAGCGAACAGGAUUAGAUACCCUGGUAGUCCACGCCGUAAACGAUGAUAACUAGCUGUAUGCGAUAUAUAGUAUG